UGUAGAGUUACAAAUUGUGAAGUUAGCUGAACUUCUCUGGAAAGAGAGGCCAUAGCGAGUGAUAGCCUCGUAAGCGAAAAUUUCACAGCUCGAGCAUUUGUUCCUAAGUACUGCGGGGAAUGAAAGCCCUGUAGGAAGCUUCCAAUACUACUUGGAAAGGCUAAAUACUAAUCCAUGACCGAUAGUGAACUAGUACCGUGAGGGAAAGGUGAAAAGCAGCCCGGCGAGGGCGAUGAAAUAAACCUGAAACCAUAUACUUACAAGGAAUCGGAGCCUGCGCAUAGCACAGAAUAUCUAAUUUCAAAUUUUCAAUUCUUAAAUAAUUUCUAAUUUUCUAAUUUUUAAAAACUCAGAAUCAAAUUUUGAGUUUUGGAAAUUUAGUCAUUGGAUUUUGUUUGGAAAUUAAAAAUUAAGAAUUGGAAAUUCCGCGCUGUGUGUGGGUGACGGUGUGCCUCUUGGAGAAUGAGCCAACGACUUUAUGUAUGUCGCUUGUCUAAUCCGCCUUGGCGGAGUAGGCGCAGGGAAACCGAGUCUGAAUAGGGCGAACGCGCAUAGCACAGAAUGUCUAAUUUUAAAUGUUUAAUUCUUAAAUAAUUUUUAAUUUCUUAAUUUUUGAAAAUUCAGAAUCAAGUUUUGAUUUUUAGAAAUUUAGUCAGCGAGAUUUAUUUGGAAAUUAGGAUUUGGAAAUUGGGAAUUCCGCGCUGUGCGCGGUAGGCGGCAUGUAUAAGACCCGAAGCCGGAGCGAGCUACCUAUGACCAGGAUGAAUUUCACCGAAAGGUGAAAGGAGGUCCGAACCCGUUAGUCGUGCAAUGCUAUGGGAUGAGUUGUGGGUAGAAGUGAAAAGCUAAUCGAGCCCGGUGAUAGCUGGUUCUCCCCGAAAUAGUUUUCGGACUAGCCUCGUUUUUAUAGAUGAUUGGGGGUAGAGCACUGGAUGGUUUUGCCUGGCGCAAGCUAGCAACACCAAUCAAACUCCGAAUACCGAUCAUUGUUGAACGGGAGUCAGACUGUGGGGGCUAAGCUUCAUAGUCAAAAGGAGAAGAGUCCUAAUCGCCAUUUAAGGUCCCAAAAUGCAAGCUAAGUGUACAAGGUUGUGAGAUUUCUCAAACAGCAAGGAGGUUGGCUUAGAAGCAGCCAUCCUUUAAAGAGUGCGUAACAGCUCACUUGUCGAGAGAUCUUGCGCCGGAAAUGUUCGGGGCUAAGCUUGCUACCGAAAAUGCGAAUGUGCGGACAUCACAUUGCAUGUGAUGUCGCGAGUUAAAAGUCCAAAGUUAAAAGUUUAAAGUGAAUUCAGAAAUGCAUUUAACUUUAUACUUGCGGAUAUCGCGUGUAGCGUGAUGUCCGUACGUGGUAGGGGAGCGUUUGUAUCUGCAGUGAAGGUCGACCCGCGAGGGCGGCUGGAGCGAUACGAAGUGAGAAUGUUGGCAUAAGUAACCGCAAGACAGGUUAAAUUCCUGUCCGCCGUAAACCUAAGGUUUCCUUGGCAAUGACAAUCAGCCAAGGGUUAGGCAACCCUAAGGCAAUCCCGAGAGGGGCAGCCGAUGGAUAGCCGGUUAAUAUUCCGGCCCUUUGUUAAUAUUUGAUGGGAGGUCGUAACACAGUAAGCUGAGCAUCUUAUUGGAUUGAUGUUCCUGGCUUAAGGAUGCUUUCUUGGCAAAUCCGGAAAGCUUUCGCAGCAAUGCGAAAAAUCUAAGAGCAGGGAAAAUUUUGGAGCAAUCUGAAAAAUUCAGCCGAGCGCGUUACCAAGAAAUUCUCUCUAAAAUUAGUAUUAACGAAUCUGUACCGUAAACCGACACAGGUAGGUGAGGCGAGUAGCCUCAGGCGAAUGGGUGAGUGAUCCUCAAGGAACUAGGCAAAAAAGCUACCCGUAAGUUUGCAAGAUGGGUUCCCUAUUGCCGUACCUCACUGCGUUUGGUAUGGAAUGUUUAAUUUUAGAUUUCUAAUUUUUUAAAAUUCAAAAAUUUUUAUUUUUGGUUUUGAAAUUUAAUCAUUGAGAUUUAUUUGGAAAUUAGAAAUUGAAAAUUGGAAAUUCCGUCCGAGCAUAGCGAGGUGCGGCGAUAGGGCGCAGCUAAAGAUAUCUGGGGACUGUUUAU
RNAcentral lists this ribosomal RNA (2091 nucleotides) under Parcubacteria group bacterium GW2011_GWD2_38_12. Its description in RNAcentral is "bacterial LSU rRNA". It matches the Rfam family "Bacterial large subunit ribosomal RNA", at positions 309 to 1807 of the family's 2925-position model. The record is from RNAcentral.